CCAGCACCCCGAGUUGUCGGGACGAUUAUUGGGCCUAAAGCAUCCGUAGCCUGUUCUGCAAGUCCUCCGUUAAAUCCACCUGCUUAACGGAUGGGCUGCGGGGGAUACUGCAGAGCUAGGAGGCGGGAGAGGCAAACGGUACUCAAUGGGUAGGGGUAAAAUCCAUUGAUCUACUGAAGACCACCAGUGGCGAAGGCGGUUUGCCAGAACGCGCUCGACGGUGAGGGAUGAAAGCUGGGGGAGCAAACCGGAUUAGAUACCCGGGUAGUCCCAGCUGUAAACGAUGCAGACUCGGUGAUGGGUUGGCUUUGAGCCAACCCAGUGCCGCAGGGAAGCCGUUAAGUCUGCCGCCUGGGGAGUACGGUCGCAAGACUG
Molecule: ribosomal RNA, 375 nt
Filed under: uncultured organism
Description: bacterial SSU rRNA
Rfam family: Archaeal small subunit ribosomal RNA
Source: RNAcentral